UUUCUCUGUUUCAGCUGCCUUCUGAAUCCUCUCCUCUGCAAUAGGAAGAGAUGUUCCCAAACUGGACUGGAGCCCCCCCUCCUACCUGCGUGAGAUCUACCAGCACAAUCCUGAAUCUCAUUUAUACCUGGAAGGUCAGCCUCAUUGCACCCAAUGUUUCAUCUUUCACACAUCUGAGGCCCAUUGUCAACUGAUCUUUUCGUCCACUUAUAGCUUCAAAGAGCAACAGAUGAAAACACCUCCAGGUGUUCUUCAGCACCAGUAUGUG
Molecule: long non-coding RNA, 268 nt
Filed under: Crocodylus porosus (Australian saltwater crocodile)
Lineage: Eukaryota; Metazoa; Chordata; Crocodylia; Crocodylidae
Description: lncRNA (ENSCPRG00005008181.1)
Source: RNAcentral